AGCCAAACUCUAGCCCAACCACACACAACCAAACAACCAAAAAAAUUUACUUCACUACAAAUUAAGCUAAAACAUUCUUCUGCCUUAGUAUGGGCGACAGAAAAGGCCUACUGGCGCGAUAGAGAUCCGUACCGCAAGGGAAAGAUGAAAUAGUAAUGAAAACCCAAGCGAAAAACAGCAAAGAUAAACCCUUGUACCUCUUGCAUCAUGAUUUAGUAAGAACAACCAAGCAAAAUGAAUUUAAGCUUGCCACCCCGAAACCCGAGCGAGCUACUUACAAGCAGCUACCCCCUGAGCGAACCCGUCUCUGUUGCAAAAGAGUGGGAUGACUUGUUAGUAGAGGUGAAAAGCCUACCGAGCCGGGUGAUAGCUGGUUGCCUGUGAAAUGAAUCUAAGUUCUCUCUUAAUUUUCUCUAGGCCCCCCCCCGGACACCCAACUACAACCACCAUGUGGCGAAUCAAGAGCAAUUUAAAGGAGGUACAGCUCCUUUAAAAAAGAAUACAACCUCCCCUAGCGGAUAACUACCCAACUGACCCUAGACUGUAGGCCCUCAAGCAGCCAUCAACAAAGAAUGCGUCAAAGCUCUACCCCAAAAAAAUUCAAAAACAACAGGACUCCCUUAUCUAUAACGGGCCAACCUAUAACAAUAGGAGAAUCAAUGCUAAAAUGAGUAAUCAGGGACCACCCUCUCAAGCGCAAGCUUACAUCACCACAUUAUUAACAAGCCUCAAACUAAUACCCCCAACCCCAAACAAGCCAAAUAUUAAACUUGCCCUGUUAGCCCAACUCAGGAGCGCCCAUUAGAAAGAUCCAAAUCUGCAAAAGGAACUAGGCAACCUCAAGGCCCGACUGUUUACCAAAAACAUAGCCUUCAGCCAGCCAAGUAUUGGAGGUGAUGCCUGCCCAGUGACACUCUGUUCAACGGCCGCGGUAUCCUAACCGUGCGAAGGUAGCGCAAUCAAUUGUCCCAUAAAUCGAGACUUGUAUGAAUGGCUAAACGAGGUCUUAACUGUCUCUUGCAGACAAUCAAUGAAAUUGAUCUUCCUGUGCAAAAGCAGGAAUAAACCCAUAAGACGAGAAGACCCUGUGGAACUUAAAAAUCAGCGGCCACCCCACACAACCCAAAACCUACCAGGCCUACGACCCCAAGUAAAACACUGGCCCGCAUUUUUCGGUUGGGGCGACCUUGGAGAAAAGCAGAUCCUCCAAAAACAAGACCACACAUCCUGACCAAGAACAACCCCUCAACGUACCAACAGCAACCAGACCCAAUAUAAUUGAUCAAUGGACCAAGCUACCCCAGGGAUAACAGCGCAAUCCCCUCCAAGAGCCCAUAUCGACAAGGGGGUUUACGACCUCGAUGUUGGAUCAGGACACCCUAAUGGUGCAGCCGCUAUUAAGGGCUCGUUUGUUCAACGAUUAACAGUCCUACGUGAUCUGAGUUCAGACCGGAGCAAUCCAGGUCGGUUUCUAUCUAUGACGGGCUUUUCCUAGUACGAAAGGACCGGAAAAGCAAGGCCCAUACUACAGGCAUGCCUUCCCUCUAAGUAGUGAACCCAACUAAACUACCAAACAGGACACACCAUUUUACCCAUCCUAGAAAAGGAUC
Molecule: ribosomal RNA, 1610 nt
Filed under: Pygoscelis adeliae (Adelie penguin)
Lineage: Eukaryota; Metazoa; Chordata; Aves; Sphenisciformes; Spheniscidae
Description: 16S ribosomal RNA
Rfam family: Bacterial large subunit ribosomal RNA
Source: RNAcentral